Molecule: ribosomal RNA, 1442 nt
Filed under: metagenome
Description: bacterial SSU rRNA
Rfam family: Archaeal small subunit ribosomal RNA
Source: RNAcentral
UCCGUUUGAUCCUGACGGAGCCGACUGCUAUCGGAUUGGGACUAAGUCAUGCAAGUUAAAGCGACUUGUUCGCUUGGCAAACUGCUUCUUAACACGUAGACAACCUACCCUAAGGUACGGCAUAUUCCCGGGAAACUGGGCGUAAUUCCGUAUAGGUAAAUGGUCUUGGAAUAGCCACUUACUAAAAGUUUUAUACGCCCUAGGAUGGGUCUGCGGCUGAUUAUGCUUGAUGGUGGUGUAAUGGACCACCAUGGCGAAGAUCAGUAGGGGCCAUGAGAGUGGUAGCCCCGAGAUGGCCACUGAGACAACGGGCCAGGCUCUAUGGAGUGCAGCAGGCGCGAAAACUGGACAAUUCACGAAAGUGAGAUCCGGCCAAUCCGAGUGAUCCCCCAUCGGGGAUCUUUUCUCAAGUAUGAAUACCUUGAGGAAUAAUGAGAGGGCAAGACUGGUGCCAGCCGCCGCGGUAAAACCAGCUCUUAGAGUGGUCGGCAUGAUUAUUUGGCUUAAAGGGAACGUAGCAGGGUAACGUAAGUCCUCAGUGAAAUCCUAGGUCUCAAGCUUAGGGCGUGCUGAGGAUACUGUGUACCUUGGGACCGGGAUAGGUGAACUGUACGUCUAGGGUAGGGGUGAAAUCCAAUAAUCCUAGACGGACGACCGGUGGCGAAGGCGGUUCACUAGAACGGGUCCGACUGUGAGGUUCGAAAGCCAGGGGCGCGAGCCGGAUUAGAUACCCGGGUAGUCCCGUGCCGUAAACGAUGCCCGCUAAGUGUUAGGGGAACUUAGGGUUCUUCUAGUGCCGAAGCGAAAGCGUUAAGCGGGCCGCCUGGGGAGUACGUUCGCAAGAAUGAAACUUAAAGGAAUUGGCGGGGGCCCACCACAAGGGGUGGAUCCUGCGGUUUAAUUGGACUCAACUCCGGGAAACUCACCUGGGCCGUGGCAUGUAUGAGAGCCCUGCUAAAGACACUGCUCGACGUGCCACCGGAGGUGCAUGGCCAUCGACAGUUCGUGCCGUGAGGUGUCCUGUUAAGUCAGGCAACGAACGAGAUCCCUACCCUUAAUUGCCAGCGAGAGCUUCACAGCUCGUCGGGGACAAUAAGGGGACUGCUCGCGAAAAAGUGAGAGGAAGGAAGGGCCAACGGUAGGUCAGUAUGCCCCUAUAUGCCCAGGGCUACACGCGGGAUACAAUGGCAAGUACAGAGGGUUCCUACACCGAAAGGUGGCGGCAAUCUCCAAAACUUGUCUCAGUCGGAAUUGAGGGCUGCAACUCGCCCUCAUGAACUUGGAAUCCCUAGUAAGCGCGUGUCAUCAACGCGCGCUGAAUACGUCCCCGGGCCUUGCACACACCGCCCAUCGCAGCACGCGAGACGGGUUUGCCAGAGGUGGCGGAAUUAUACUGUUAUCGAUGGUAAACUCGUUGAGCAGGCUGAAGUUGUAACAAGGUA